AUGCAUGUACGCGAUGCAUGCACUACUCGCCUUGCCUCGCGGUUCUGCUGCUCCGCUGCGCCGCGCCGUCCACUGCAGGAAUCGCAAGCGCCAUCGCUGUUCAGUGCCAGCAUUCUCCUUCCCCUCCGCGUCUGCGCGCACCGGGUGUCCCGCCGCCUGGGUUGGCCUCUGCUCCGUUCCACGAGCACGCGUGCGCACGCUGCCGUCCGGCUCGUAACCGCCCGCCGCGUUGGCCCUCCGCCCCGCUCGGCCCGUGCGUGCGCACCGCCUCCUGCCGCGCUGGCCCUCCGCUCCGCCGGACAUCCCAGUGCGCCUCUCCCUCUGCAGCUCCCGGCCAGCUCGCCCAGCCGCCUACCAUCCAACUCGCCGCGUGCCUCCGGCAAGCCGGGCCCGGCCUCCCGUGCCGUCUCCGCUAGCGGGCCGACUUGCCGUUCGCCGGCUCCUGUGUCAGCCUGCCGGCCGCGUGCCGCCUCCCCUCGCCGCGUGCUCCUGGCCAGGACGCGCUUACGCUCCUGCGCUGGCCGACCUUACACCCCGCUGACUAACCUCCGCAUCCAGCGCCGGCCCCGGACCGGCUCCCCAUCGUCGCCCAGCCACCUCCCGCGCGCACGCCGGCUGAUGCACCGGAUCCGGCCGUCCUCACCAUCCGAUCGCGCACGCCCCGGUGCCAGACCUCGCCCUGGCCUCGCCACUUUGCCCGCGCCGCCCCAGCUCCGCGGCCUCGCCUCGUCCCUGCGGAGCCCGUUCCGCUUCAUGUGCGCCCGCAGUCGGCCGCACCAGGCUCCCGUCCGGUUGGCCGCUACCGCGCCACCGUUCGGCUUUGGCCGCCCUUCUCUGCGCACUCCUCGGCCGCUUCCGGACCGCCCGUCGCCUGCUGCUCCGCACCCGGCUGUUCCCGUCGCCGCCCCUCCGGUGCGCCGGCUCGCCCAACAGCUGGCUCCUCCCCUGCCGACCUCCACCCGUUCGCACCAGCCGGCCGCGCCCGGCCGGCACGCGCUCCUGCUCCCCAUUGUGCCCCGCCGCGUCCGGCUCCCUGGUGCCGCCCCGCGCCCGGCCGGGUCCGGCUCCGUCCGCCUCCGAACGCCCACCCCAGGCCGGCUGCGGGUCGCUGCUCCAGCCGCCCGUCUUAGCCGACUGUACGAGAAGAGAAAAAGGGUCGUCUGCCCGAUGGCUAGCUAG
RNAcentral lists this ribosomal RNA (1179 nucleotides) under Triticum aestivum (bread wheat). Its description in RNAcentral is "partial small subunit ribosomal RNA". The record is from RNAcentral. Lineage: Eukaryota; Viridiplantae; Streptophyta; Magnoliopsida; Poales; Poaceae.